RNAcentral lists this ribosomal RNA (398 nucleotides) under uncultured bacterium. RNAcentral's name for it is "partial 16S ribosomal RNA". It matches the Rfam family "Bacterial small subunit ribosomal RNA", at positions 523 to 918 of the family's 1533-position model. The record is from RNAcentral.
AUACGUAGGGUGCGAGCGUUGUCCGGAAUUACUGGGCGUAAAGAGCUCGUAGGUGGUUUGUCGCGUCGUCUGUGAAAUUCCGGGGCUUAACUCCGGGCGUGCAGGCGAUACGGGCAUAACUUGAGUACUGUAGGGGAGACUGGAAUUCCUGGUGUAGCGGUGAAAUGCGCAGAUAUCAGGAGGAACACCGGUGGCGAAGGCGGGUCUCUGGGCAGUAACUGACGCUGAGGAGCGAAAGCAUGGGUAGCGAACAGGAUUAGAUACCCUGGUAGUCCAUGCCGUAAACGGUGGGCGCUAGGUGUAGGGGUCUUUCACGACUUCUGUGCCGUAGCUAACGCAUUAAGCGCCCCGCCUGGGGAGUACGGCCGCAAGGCUAAAACUCAAAUGAAUUGACGGGG